GCUCGGUUAGCUCAGCUGGUUAGAGCAUGCGGCUGUUAACCGCAAGGUCGAAGGUUCGAUCCCUUCACCGAGCG
This is a transfer RNA of Tetrahymena thermophila SB210, 74 nucleotides long. It matches the Rfam family "tRNA". Rfam says of the family: Transfer RNA (tRNA) molecules are approximately 80 nucleotides in length. Their secondary structure includes four short double-helical elements and three loops (D, anti-codon, and T loops). Lineage: Eukaryota; Ciliophora; Oligohymenophorea; Hymenostomatida; Tetrahymenidae. The record is from Rfam.